CUCCCCCAAAAGUAUUGUUCGGAUCCUGCAUAGCAGAACCACUCGCGAACAAGUUUUUUAACUCGGGCAUCGGUUAAUACCGGAUACUCCCGGCUAUUGAUCGGAGCCUAACGGUGCCCCGGCAUCUUGCCGUGUGGUGCUAAACAACAACCCCCGGCGCGAGAAGCGCCAAGGAAUACUUUAACAAGGGCCUGAACCAUCCUCUCCCGCUCGCGGGGCACAGAGGCUUGGAGAUGGAUUCUUUCUAAACCACAACGACUCUCGGCAACGGAUAUCUCGGCUCUCGCAUCGAUGAAGAACGUAGCGAAAUGCGAUACUUGGUGUGAAUUGCAGAAUCCCGUGAACCAUCGAGUCUUUGAACGCAAGUUGCGCCUGAAGCCAUUAGGCUAAAGGCACGCCUGCCUGGGCGUCACGCAUCGCGUCACCCAUCCCCAACUCUCGUGGAUGUGGUGGAUUGUGACCUCCUGUGCCUUGCGGUGCAGUUGGUCGAAAUUCGAGUUCGGAGUUAAGGACUUCACGACAAGUGGUGGUUGGACGACCAACUCGCGUCAUGUCGUGUGCCAAACCUUCGUGGCUCUCAAGACCCUAAGGCACGUGCUACCCGACUCUUGGGUCGGAAAACUCGUGCUACGACCGCGACCCCAGGUCAGGCGGGAUUACCCGCUGAAUUUAAGCAUAUCAAUAAGCGGAGGA
This 693-nucleotide ribosomal RNA is filed under the name Lithospermum erythrorhizon. RNAcentral's name for it is "eukaryotic LSU rRNA". The stretch from base 257 to 412 matches the Rfam family "5.8S ribosomal RNA". Lineage: Eukaryota; Viridiplantae; Streptophyta; Magnoliopsida; Boraginales; Boraginaceae. The record is from RNAcentral.